UACGUAGGGGGCAAGCGUUGUCCGGAUUCAUUGGGCGUAAAGAGCUCGUAGGCGGCUUGGCAAGUCGGGUGUGAAAACUCCAGGCUCAACCUGGAGACGCCACCCGAUACUGCCAUGGCUUGAGUCCGGUAGGGGGCCACGGAAUUCCUGGUGUAGCGGUGAAAUGCGCAGAUAUCAGGAGGAACACCGGUGGCGAAGGCGGUGGUCUGGGCCGGUACUGACGCUGAGGAGCGAAAGCGUGGGGAGCGAACAGG
This 254-nucleotide ribosomal RNA is filed under the name uncultured bacterium. RNAcentral describes it as "partial 16S ribosomal RNA". It matches the Rfam family "Bacterial small subunit ribosomal RNA", at positions 524 to 776 of the family's 1533-position model. The record is from RNAcentral.